GACGAACGCUGGCGGCGUGCUUAACACAUGCCAGUCACGGGGGCCCGCAAGGGUAACCGGCGAACGGGUGCGUAACACGUGAGCAAUCUGCCGUCCACUGGGGGAUAGCCGGCCCAACGGCCGGGUAAUACCGCAUACGCUUGCCGGGUGGCAUCACUUGGCAAGGAAACCUCCGGGGGUGGACGAGGAGCUCGCGGCCUAUCAGCUAGUUGGUGGGGUCACGGCCCACCAAGGCGAUGACGGGUAGCUGGUCUGAGAGGAUGGCCAGCCACAUUGGGACUGAGUUACGGCCCAGACUCCUACGGGAGGCAGCAGGGGGGAAUAUUGCGCAAUGGCCGCAAGGCUGACGCAGCGGCGCCGCGUGGGGGAUGAAGCAUUUCGGUGUGUAAACCCCUGUUGCCCGGGACGAACCUCCCCUUUCGAGGGGACUGACGGUACCGGGUGAGGAAGCACCGGCUAACUCCGUG
Molecule: ribosomal RNA, 467 nt
Filed under: uncultured bacterium
Lineage: Bacteria
Description: partial 16S ribosomal RNA
Rfam family: Bacterial small subunit ribosomal RNA
Source: RNAcentral